This 586-nucleotide ribosomal RNA is filed under the name uncultured bacterium. RNAcentral describes it as "bacterial SSU rRNA". It matches the Rfam family "Bacterial small subunit ribosomal RNA", at positions 338 to 914 of the family's 1533-position model. The record is from RNAcentral.
CCUACGGGAGGCAGCAGUCGAGAAUAGUCUACAAUGGUCGAAAGACUGAUAGUGCGACGCCGCGUGAACGAAGAAGCCCUUCGGGGUGUAAAGUUCUUUUAUAUGUGAGCAGUGGGUUCUAUGUGAACAGCAUGGGAUCAGAGAUAUUAGCAUAUGAAUAAGCAACGGCUAACUCCGUGCCAGCAGCCGCGGUAACACGGGGGUUGCAAGCGUUGUCCGGAAUUACUAGGCGUAAAGGGCAGGUAGGCGGAUCCAUAAGUUUUUUGUUAAAGGCAACGGCUUACCCGUUGUAAGGCAGGAGAUACUGUGGAUCUGGAAUGCGGUUGGGGAAGACAGAAUUCCUGGUGUAGCGGUGGAAUGCGCAGAGAUCAGGAGGAAUACCGAAAGCGAAGGCAGUCUUCUAAGCCGUCAUUGACGCUAAACUGCGAAGGUGUGGGUAUCAAACAGGAUUAGAUACCCUGGUAGUCCACACAGUAAACGAUAAUCACUAGGUGUCGGGUUCGUAGAGGAUUCGGUGCCGUAGCUAACGCGAUAAGUGAUUCGCCUGGGGAGUACGAUCGCAAGGUUGAAACUCAAAUGAAUUGAC